AUUGCACCCAACCCAAAUAAACAAAUAAAUCCUAAUUGUCAAAAUAUAAAUAAAAUAAAUAAAAAAGUAUGAAAAGAAAAAAGGAAAAAGUUGUUGCUUGCCACUAAGCGGGACAACGCCCACUUUGAGAGAGAGGAGAGAGUCACAUUUAUUUUCAAAUUUCAAUCAACAACCAAUAAGGUUGUGACAAGUGGAUUAAAAAUGUGAAAAAAAAACAAAAUAAUCCUUAAAGCAAAAAAAAGAGUAAAACAACUCAACAC
This 260-nucleotide long non-coding RNA is filed under the name Lathyrus oleraceus (garden pea). RNAcentral's name for it is "Pisum sativum (pea) long non-coding RNA (PSAT_LNC029449)". The record is from RNAcentral. Lineage: Eukaryota; Viridiplantae; Streptophyta; Magnoliopsida; Fabales; Fabaceae.